GGGUUAAUCCUCUAAUUGGUCCCUGUGGUUGUGUGACCGUCUGAAAUUAGUCCCUCCCGUAAAAUCUAAGUCCUCGCGUUUGAAAAAGUGUGUGUAGCAGGUCCUCGCCGGAGGGACUAAUUUCCACACACUUUUCAAACGUGAGGACUUAAAUUUUACGGGAGGGACUAAUUUCAGACGGUCACACAACCACAGGGACCAAUUAGAGGAUUAUCCC
Molecule: microRNA precursor, 217 nt
Filed under: Lotus japonicus
Lineage: Eukaryota; Viridiplantae; Streptophyta; Magnoliopsida; Fabales; Fabaceae
Description: miR11072a stem-loop (lja-MIR11072a)
Source: miRBase by way of RNAcentral